CGCCGCCCCUAAUAAUGCUAACUAAUGUGCCGUCAUCGGGUUCAAAAUACUUGCCGCCGCCCGCAGUUCCUCAAACCCUCAAACAGCAUCAUUCAACAAUGCCCGAAGAUCCAGCGUACUUUGCGGGCGCUUCGUUAAGUACACAUGAUCUUCGAGCAUGUAAUUCAGCCCCACCCAUGGCGUUUUUGCCGUACCCGCCAAGGGCCGAAAAUCACCGGGAUUCAAAAAAGCAGACAAGAGAUAAGUGCCCCAUACGCACUAAAUCAACAACAAAGCGCAGAAGUGAAGAUUCAAACUUUAUUCAAAAGCUUAGAGGUGAACUCCCUGUGCGCGUAGUAAAACCGCACGUUAUGUUAGUGUUGUUGAAAUUCAAACAACCCCGUUUUCCCUUUUCUGGGCGUAAUAUCAAGAAAGCUCAAAUCUUUCUUUAGUCCCUAGGGUUUUCUGGAUGGGAUCCCUGUGUUUCACUUUUUUUCUUUUUGAGUAUCUCAAUACCAGUCUUUUUCCAAAAGUAGGAAUGCGGUCGCCAUCACCAUCACAAUGAUCCAGGAACACAAUCAAAAUGGAUCAAAAUGAAUGAAAUGAGUACGAAUGAGACAAGAACCAUUAGGAAUUUUGAAUGCUAUAAACCAAUUGGUUUAGGGAUUUUAAUGCCUUGGUACUCAAAUUGAGAACAUUAAAACCAUGUACAGCAGAAAUAUGGAUCAGCCCCUGAUCCCACUCAAGUAGAAAGUCCACUUAAAUGAUAGAAUAAUAAGUACCACUACAUACUAGGAU
Molecule: long non-coding RNA, 777 nt
Organism: Nematostella vectensis (starlet sea anemone)
Lineage: Eukaryota; Metazoa; Cnidaria; Anthozoa; Actiniaria; Edwardsiidae
Exons: 2
Source: RefSeq, a predicted model, not a curated record